GCUUUCGUAUUGUAACUGGCAGCAUGCUCGGCGCGUAUUCCAGAGGUCCAGGGUUCAAUUCCUGGCGAGGGCA
This 73-nucleotide transfer RNA is filed under the name Stegodyphus mimosarum. It matches the Rfam family "tRNA". From Rfam's summary of the family: Transfer RNA (tRNA) molecules are approximately 80 nucleotides in length. Their secondary structure includes four short double-helical elements and three loops (D, anti-codon, and T loops). Lineage: Eukaryota; Metazoa; Arthropoda; Arachnida; Araneae; Eresidae. The record is from Rfam by way of RNAcentral.